This 250-nucleotide ribosomal RNA is filed under the name uncultured bacterium. Its description in RNAcentral is "partial 16S ribosomal RNA". It matches the Rfam family "Bacterial small subunit ribosomal RNA", at positions 30 to 282 of the family's 1533-position model. The record is from RNAcentral.
AUUGAACGCUGGCGGCAUGCCUUACACAUGCAAGUCGAACGGUAACAGGUCUUCGGAUGCUGACGAGUGGCGAACGGGUGAGUAAUACAUCGGAACGUGCCCAGUAAUGGGGGAUAGCUCGGCGAAAGCCGGAUUAAUACCGCAUACGCCCUGAGGGGGAAAGUGGGGGACCGCAAGGCCUCACGUUAUUGGAGCGGCCGAUGGCUGAUUAGCUAGUUGGUAGGGUAAAGGCCUACCAAGGCGACGAUCA